RNAcentral lists this unclassified non-coding RNA (294 nucleotides) under uncultured fungus. RNAcentral describes it as "sequence contains ITS1". The record is from RNAcentral. Lineage: Eukaryota; Fungi.
UGGACUACCGGGGUUUCUAAUCCUGUUUGCUACCCACGCUUUCGAGCCUCAGUGUCAGUAUGAUGCCAGAAGGCUGCCUUCGCCAUCGGUAUUCCUCCAGAUCUCUACGCAUUUCACCGCUACACCUGGAAUUCUACCUUCCUCUCACCUACUCUAGCCUGACAGUAUCAGAUGCAGUUCCCAGGUUAAGCCCGGGGAUUUCACAUCUGACUUAUCAAGCCACCUACGCUCGCUUUACGCCCAGUAAUUCCGAUUAACGCUUGCACCCUCUGUAUUACCGCGGCUGCUGGCACU